This is a long non-coding RNA of Columba livia (rock pigeon), 3080 nucleotides long. RefSeq lists it as uncharacterized. The transcript is spliced from 3 exons. Lineage: Eukaryota; Metazoa; Chordata; Aves; Columbiformes; Columbidae. The record is from RefSeq and is a predicted model, not a curated record.
GACCAUGACAGUAUAUGUCAACAGUAUAUAGUGCUAAAUUCAUUAAACACUGUGAACUCAUGUUAGUAAAAUUAUGGGAGAUACAGGGGACCAUGACAUAUAAUGAUUAAGUAGCUGCAACCUGGGUAUUUUCAUAGUUGCAAAGGCUUUCCCUCCGAGCACAAACUGCUCUCUGUUGGGCGUGGGUUUUCUUUUUCUGAUCAGGACUUCAGUAUAUAGAAUCUUGGCCUUUAGUCUGGAAAGUCUUCCCUAUUUCAUCAGCACAAAUGUGUGAAAAAAGCUGUGGAGAAUGAGAGAAACUGAAAAGGAUAAAAUUAAUAUAUGGAGGAUAUAGUAAGUGAAGGUAAAAGUAAAUGUGAGCUGAUAAAAGCUGUUCAAAGCUAGUGAGAAGCAAUGGGCUGAGCGUGGUUCCUCAGCAUGCUUCCUAGAGGAGAGCAUCUUAACUGCUUUUGGUAGCAGAACUUUCUGUCUUUGUCCUCUCUGUCCUUGCUGACAAAAUCCAUGGCAACUAUGGCAGCUGUAAAACUUCAAACAAGAAUUUAUGUAGCUUGUUGUCCUGUUUGCAUACUUCUGGGAAGAACAGCAGUGUGUGGUAACGCAGCAGUUUAGGAUCUUCCUGAGCUAAAUUUUUCAAUUGACUACUGGGAUGAAAGGUCCUUACAAAGAUCUUUGUAAGCCUAGGCUGAACUACAUUUAGCAAAGCAAGAGGAGGAGCAGUAUGAAUUAGAUCUUCUCUUGGUCCCUGAAACGUACAUAGAAGUAUAACCAAAAUACCUUCAGCCAGCUCCACAGUAGCUGUUAGGGCAGCAGUGUCCUGGCUGUUUUGAUGAACUCAGAUUAAAACUGUAAAGCGCGUCUUUAAAAUAGGUGGGAAGGAGUUCAGGGAAACCCUAUGACCUGGAAGAAAAUACCAUCCGUAUGGGGCAUUGUUUUAGGCCGAAAGACUCCUUGUUUGUUUGGUAUAGGAUUUGAAUCACAGGAGGAACUUGUUGUCACUCUAUAAAUGAAUGAUUACUUGUCUUUUUAUGGAGAGCAAAUGUAGCCUUUUUAAUAUGGUUGCCAAGAGCCCUGGCAUCUUCCUAACAAAAACUCUGGAUUUAAUUAUACCAGGGACCCUUCAAAUUUUACAGCAUAGUUCCUGUACGAAACAGAACUGCUUGUAGCUACCUGCCUUCCUUGCUCAGUGCAAAGCGAAGAAGCUUGGAGUACAAAGGACCAUUUAUGUGUAGUGACUUGGCUGAAGACAUACAGUGGAGAAGGGAUAAUGCCUCAGGUGCAGUACAGGAGCCUGCAGACUGUUCUCGGUUGUGUAGGUUAUAAGCCCAAAGAGGAACAGGCUGUGCAUAAUCUAUCCAACUCUCAACAGGCUCAGCCACAGAUUUCCUGGCAAGCUGAUGCUAUUUAAGAAGAACACUGGCAUCUAUUUUGAAGAAAAAAUAAAUCAAGAUCCUGCAUGCAGGUCACUCUUCUUCCCAUACAGGACUGAUGGCAGUUCCCUCUGGAGUACAUCAGCACUGCCCCUACUCUGGACUGCUGGAUAGGAAUGAAAGGGCUCAAAUUCACAUCUUAACAAACUGUGGACAAAAAUGUGUGGUCAAAAGUUACUUUUGAAACUUCUUUAAAGAGGUAGGGUUGUUUGGUUUGGGGCCUUUUUUGUUGUUGUUCUGUGUUGUUGUUGUUGUUGUUUUUUUUCCCCACCUGAAGGUGAGGGGUGGAGAUCCUAGAUCCCAACAUUAAUGUUUCACACCUGCUUGUCUGAGUUAGCUCCCUGCUGUGCCUUGCUGAAGCCUGCAGGUUUGCUGCUUUGUGGUUCUGUGAGAGCAGGGUGACGUCUUUCAGGCAAGCCUGUGUCACAGCAGGCCCCUUCUAUGCAGCUGUGGUUCACUGGUUGCCUGAGAUCCACAGACUAUAUCCAGUAGUUUCCCCAGCUGUUUCCUCCUGUUCAGCUGGAGGGAAAGAGUUGCACACAGGUCCAGUGCUGAUGCUCCUGUUUUGCUGAUGUGAUCUGUGGACCACUGGAUACAGUUACCUUGCAGUUGAGACACGUUGCUUGAAAUCAGUUUGGGCCAUUCAACCAGAAUUAUCAACAACUAUUUUUUUUUUUUUCCUCCCCCCUGUUGCCCUGGUCACAGUUAUGAUCUGUUUCCAAGUUCUCCUCAGCACCUCUACUCCAUGAUGGAUGCUUGGAACAUGAUAGCUACUCCCUUCAGCAAAUUCAGGCACCUUAUUUGGGCUCCCUACGAUUUUCCUGUGUUCUGCCAUGUAAGAGUGCAAUACUAAACCUUCUCACUGAAGUUGAAUAAAGAGGAGUUAUUGUCACCUGUCUCACAAAAGUUGUGUAUGUCUGUAGAUAAAUAUUAAACAGCAUUUGUAAUAAGAUCACCCUGCUUGUUUUUGAGCAAUUUGGUAUCUGGUCUGACCUGAAUCACUGCUCUCUAACCAGAUCUUUUGAUUUCUGUUGCCAUAUUGCAUUAUUUUCCCCUACAGGUAAAUAUAUUGCUAUGCAGACUAAAUUUCUGCAGAAUAGCAGGGAACAUGAAAAUUGUCUUGAAAAUACGCUAUUGUUACAAAGACUUUGAAUGAGAAAUACAUGAAAUAUCAUUGUGAUUUCUUCCUACAUUGGUUUAGUCAUCUUUUAAAAAAAUAACAAAUGCUUUGAAACAAAAGAAUACAGAGUUUUUUAAACAUCUCUUAUUAUCCUUUAAGGCAAUAGAUUUUUUUGAGGAGUUUCACAUAUUGUCAUUAAAAACUUCCACAGCAAAUCUACUAAUGGUGUCUGUUCACUAGUCCAGCUAAAAUGUUUCUGUUUAUGUAGUAUUUGUCACACUUACUAUGUCUUUCAGCCUUUUCUUCAAGUUCCUGAACUCUAAAACAGUUUUUGGUGGAUGUGUGGGCUCCUGUGUAGUGACACCAAGCCUCCUGACAAUGGGAUUGCUUCUUGUUGAUGCCUUUUGUGGGUCUUUUGCAAGUAUUUUGAGGAAACCCAAUGAUCCGCAGGCUGUAAGCUGAAAACCAUUAGUGUAUUGCUUUUUGUUCUGUGUCAGGAAUUAUUAUAUACUGUAUUAAAUACCUUGAAAGUA